UACGUAGGGUGCGAGCGUUAAUCGGAAUUACUGGGCGUAAAGGGUGCGCAGGCGGUUUUAUAAGUCAGAUGUGAAAUCCCCGGGCUUAACCUGGGAACUGCAUUGGUGACUGCAUUGCUGGAGUAUGGCAGAGGGGGGUGGAAUUCCACGUGUAGCAGUGAAAUGCGUAGAGAUGUGGAGGAACACCGAUGGCGAAGGCAGCCCCCCGGGCCAAUACUGACGCUCAUGCACGAAAGCGUGGGGAGCAAACAGG
RNAcentral lists this ribosomal RNA (253 nucleotides) under uncultured bacterium. RNAcentral describes it as "partial 16S ribosomal RNA". It matches the Rfam family "Bacterial small subunit ribosomal RNA", at positions 524 to 776 of the family's 1533-position model. The record is from RNAcentral.